This 352-nucleotide ribosomal RNA is filed under the name Escherichia coli. RNAcentral's name for it is "partial 23S ribosomal RNA". It matches the Rfam family "Bacterial large subunit ribosomal RNA", at positions 2180 to 2531 of the family's 2925-position model. The record is from RNAcentral. Lineage: Bacteria; Pseudomonadati; Pseudomonadota; Gammaproteobacteria; Enterobacterales; Enterobacteriaceae.
AUGGAGCCGACCUUGAAAUACCACCCUUUAAUGUUUGAUGUUCUAACGUUGACCCGUAAUCCGGGUUGCGGACAGUGUCUGGUGGGUAGUUUGACUGGGGCGGUCUCCUCCUAAAGAGUAACGGAGGAGCACGAAGGUUGGCUAAUCCUGGUCGGACAUCAGGAGGUUAGUGCAAUGGCAUAAGCCAGCUUGACUGCGAGCGUGACGGCGCGAGCAGGUGCGAAAGCAGGUCAUAGUGAUCCGGUGGUUCUGAAUGGAAGGGCCAUCGCUCAACGGAUAAAAGGUACUCCGGGGAUAACAGGCUGAUACCGCCCAAGAGUUCAUAUCGACGGCGGUGUUUGGCACCUCGAUG